UAAGCCCAUCCAAACGGGCACUAGAGCAUACUUUCCUUUAACACUAUUCAAGAAGCUUUCUUUCUUUUUUGUUUCUUUUCUUUUUUGUUUUAUUCAAGAAACUUUCUCUCUUCGAUAGUAUCUAACCUUAUUUGAGCUAAACUUCAUCCAAUGAUGAGAUGAAAAUUUAGGUAGAAAUUCAUAAUUUGAGUGUAUUUCGCUCUGGUUGUAUCAAUUUUUGAGUUCUCUGCUCAAGUUUUUCCCCGAUUUAAGCCAGGGUUCUUAUGGCGAUCUUGUCUGCCCCAAUUUCAAAGGAGGAAGCUAAUGGACUACUCGUAUCCACUGCAAGAUUUAUCAACUCGUGUUCUGUGGAGAAACUACAAUUGGCUCCUGAAAAAUAAGGUUUACGGAUCAAGUUAUGUUGCUGGAAGCACCAAUUUGUGACGUGGCUCCGAUGCUGACUGCCGUUCGCAAACUACAAGUCUCCUCUCAACAGUUGAUAACUAUAAAACUGGUAUUUUAUCACCAACCAGAGAAGAUGAGGAGAAAGAAGUUCAUAAAAGGAAGGGGUAUCGCAGAGAAAGUUACAGUGUGCCAAUGCUUGCUUCAAUUGGGUCUUGCAGCUAUAAGUAUUGCAAUAAAUACUUUCGUAUCAAAGAGUACAAUAACUACUAUAUUGUACCUUUGUGCUUCUUGACAUAGUCAUUUUCCAAAUUAAAACAAUUUAAAUUAUUAUUGUAACAUAGACAAAGAUGACAUCUUCCUUUACAAUAUUCAGAUCUGAACUCUUACUAGUAGGAGUUCAAUAAGACGAUAAUUGGAAGAUUUCAGAGAGAUAUAACUCAAUUGAGUUCGACAAAUUUAUAACAAACAAAUAUUUUAUUA
Lycium barbarum (goji berry) is the source of this 864-nucleotide long non-coding RNA. RefSeq lists it as uncharacterized. The record is from RefSeq and is a predicted model, not a curated record. The transcript has 4 exons. Lineage: Eukaryota; Viridiplantae; Streptophyta; Magnoliopsida; Solanales; Solanaceae.